RNAcentral lists this long non-coding RNA (356 nucleotides) under Mytilus galloprovincialis (Mediterranean mussel). The record is from RNAcentral. Lineage: Eukaryota; Metazoa; Mollusca; Bivalvia; Mytilida; Mytilidae.
GUCAAUAUAUUAUUUUGUUAUUAAAAUCUCUUUUAUGGAAGGGAAAGCGUAAUAUGGUGUUUCAAAUCAAGUAAUGCAAUGAAUCAAAUUUGUAGAAUAUAGGAUACAGCAGAUAUAUCUUUAAUGUUUUCAAUCUAAAUGUUAUAUUAUGUGUUCAAAUAUACGAAAUAACAUUUUCAACAUCAUUAUCAAGUAGGAACAACCCGAAAAUACAGCCACAAAAAGCAAUAUACAACGUCAUUCAGCAACCAUUUUUGCAUCCCAGGUAAAAAUCGGAUAAAAUGGCUCCCAUUGAGAAUCUUGGAUGACAACAAUUUUUAUAAAAUAAAUUUGUAUUCAAAAUCGUGAAAUGAAUG